AUGCUUCCUUGGAAACAACAAGAUCAUAAUCUGGAGCAACAACUAACCCUCAGGUAUGAGCAUGUUCUCAAUCAACUUAAUAGCUUUUAUAAGCAAAGAAGCAAGAAGGGUUGGGCUACUGGUGGUGAUCGUAAUACUAAAUUUUUUCAUCAAGCUGUUCUCAAGAGGAGGAAGAGGAAUACCAUUUGCUCUAUUAAAGAUGAAAAUGAUGUUUUGCAUUUCAGACCUGAUCUCAUUGCUAACACUUUUGUUAACUAUUUCAGAUAUAUCUUUUCACCUUUUCUUGCUUCACAGUUUCCUGACGGCUCUUUGGAUCCCACUUAUCUAAUUCCAGAUAAAAGUGAAGUAUUGCAGAUCUUGAAGGAUAUGAAGUUGAAUGCUUCGCCAGGGCCGGAUGGCUUCAAUGUUGAGUUUUAUCUAGCUGUAUGGGAUUGGAUAGGAGAUGAGGUCACCCAGUUGGUGGUUAUAAAUCAGGUAUAUUGCCACCUCAUAUUAGUGACACUAACAUUGCUCUCAUUCCAAAAAAACUGGUUCCCCAGGUUCCUAUGGAUUAUCGUCCCAUUAGCCUUUCUAAUGUCAUAUACAAAAUCAUUGCCAAAUCCUUAG
This 606-nucleotide ribosomal RNA is filed under the name Triticum aestivum (bread wheat). RNAcentral describes it as "partial small subunit ribosomal RNA". Lineage: Eukaryota; Viridiplantae; Streptophyta; Magnoliopsida; Poales; Poaceae. The record is from RNAcentral.